UUCUGAUCCAAAUAAGACAACAAGGCAAUGCAGUGAGCAAAUCUUCCACCUUGAACAAGACCAAAGGGGACCUGCUCCUGGUUUUGUUGGUUUCCCUUAGUUUUUUUUCUUGAGCACCAUGUACUGGGGACAUUCUCAAGAUGGCACUAAUUUUCUUGAAAAGCAGAAUUUUUUCUUAGUAAAGAGAGAGAAUGGAGUUGUUCCAGAAAAAAAUUAAAGGAUACAGUGCUAUGCAAUGAAAUUGCUUCCGUAUUGAAAAGCCCCUCCGUCAGGCGUUUUUACCGUUUCACUGGCCAGGACUGAGGGCUGAUGGGCUCGGAAGGCUCAGUGAGUCAGGUGCUCUUACCGUGAGCAAGGCUAUUCAGGGAUGCGUUGAGUUACACAUCCUCCCUCCCCCCGAAGAAGCCCAAUAUGUACAGUACUGAAGAUGACUAAUAUAAUCUGACAUCCCUCUCCAUGACUCCAUAUCACUCACAAGGAUUUCCUUCUCAGGUUGACUUCUUGUCUGCCUGGAGUGAGGGCAAUGAGCAGAGGAGUGCGUGGAUACUCUUUCCUCUUUAAGUGUUUUGCUUUUGCAAAAAAAUGCAAAAUGUGGUCUUAAGAAGAUGGGUGUCGUAAGGAAAGAAUACAGGCGUUCAAGAAGACAACAUUAAUUUUACCACCAUCAGAUUACUUUUGUUGCCACCAGGAAAUGAAAUCAUUUUAGGAAUCUACAAAUCUCCAUAGAAGGAAUAGAAUAUGCUCUCCUGUCUUUCACUUGAAGAGGAUUUGAGGCAGUCAAAGGAGAUUCGACUGAACCAGAUAUAGAAGAGAGAGAGAGGGUGCGUGUGUAGGUGGACAGUGGGGAGAAGCACAGAAUGAAAACCAACAAAGAGAUACGGAUUGGAAGCCACACUCUGAGCCAAGCGCUGCCCUUGUUAAGUGGAAAUUAGGGGUCCACCUACAGCAGGAAUGUUUCAAAACUAAGAUCAGGACAGAGCCGUCAAGGUCCAAGUUCAUCCCUGGGGAUACAUGGGCUCUGAAGCAAAUUACAAUGUGCUUCACUGUGUGGGCAGACCCAGCUUUGGGAGGUGGAGGGAAGCGUUAUAAUAUCGGAAAUGCUUUUUAAGAAAAGAGUACAAUUUUAGGAUGCAAAUACUAAAGCAAGAGGAGACAAUAGUGCUUAAGAAACACGUAAAUAUAUCCACCAAACCCCACUAUGUGUAUCCCCAAGCCAGCUUUCCUUUAGCCAGAUCCCAUGAUGUCCAAGGCUUCUCCAAAACUCUCUGACACGAGUGAGAUUGUGAUGGAAGGAAAGUCAGAGAGCAAAAACAGAGGUCUUAACUGAUUGUGGUUAAAGUGUCUUAAUUUUGCAAAUUUAAGAAAAACAUGUCCACUUGUGAACAUAUUGUCAGGACUCCUAUGGCCUUUACAAGUUAGAGGCCUUGAAGCUCAAGCUUCAUUAACUUUGAGAUAAACCUCGCCCUCACCGUACCCCACCCCUAGCAUUUUUCUGCAGAUUAAAUCAGACUAAAGUUAAAAGCAGCCAAUGGGAUGAGUAGAAAGCAGAAAUUAUAGAAAGGUCACAGUGGGGCCGGCCCCGUGGCCAAGUGGUUAAGUCCGCGCGCUCCACUUUGGCGGCCCAGGGUUUCACUGAUUUGGAUCCUGGGCGCGGGCAUGGCACCACUCAUCAGGCCAUGCUGAGGCAGC
Equus asinus (donkey) is the source of this 1689-nucleotide long non-coding RNA. Lineage: Eukaryota; Metazoa; Chordata; Mammalia; Perissodactyla; Equidae. The record is from Ensembl.